Molecule: transfer RNA, 99 nt
Filed under: Amborella trichopoda
Lineage: Eukaryota; Viridiplantae; Streptophyta; Magnoliopsida; Amborellales; Amborellaceae
Description: tRNA AMTR_s00007t00279130
Source: RNAcentral
AGUUUGGAUAGAUUGUGGUAUUUGAAAUGGUUAAAAUUUCCAUUUUUGAAAAGAAAAGGCAAUUAUGAUUUAUUUGGAUCGAAUUCCUAAUAAAAACUA